Molecule: ribosomal RNA, 460 nt
Filed under: uncultured bacterium
Lineage: Bacteria
Description: partial 16S ribosomal RNA
Rfam family: Bacterial small subunit ribosomal RNA
Source: RNAcentral
CCUACGGGAGGCAGCAGUGAGGAAUAUUGGUCAAUGGGCGAGAGCCUGAACCAGCCAAGUCGCGUGAGGGAAGACGGUCCUAUGGAUUGUAAACCUCUUUUUUAUGGGAAUAAAAGGGUCCACGGGUGGGAUUUUGUAUGUACCAUAUGAAUAAGGAUCGGCUAACGCCGUGCCAGCAGCCGCGUUAAUACGGAGGAUCCGAGCGUUAUCCGGAUUUAUUGGGUUUAAAGGGAGCGUAGGUGGAGUUUUAAGUCAGUUGUGAAAGUUUGCGGCUCAACCGUAAAAUUGCAGUUGAAACUGGCAGUCUUGAGUACAGUAGAGGUGGGCGGAAUGCGUGGUGUAGCGGUGAAAUGCAUAGAUAUCACGAAGAACACCGAUUGCGAAGGCAGCUCACUGGACUGCAACUGACACUGAGGCUCGAAAGUGUGGGUAUCAAACAGGAUUAGAUACCCCAGUAGUC